AUGUGUGAUGUCCGUCCCACCCUGACGGUGCUGCCCCCCUCCCGCGAGGAGCUGCAGCAGGGGAAGGCCACGCUCAUGUGCCUGGCCAACAAGGGCUUCCCCUCAGGCUGGAGUCUGGCCUGGAAGGUGGACGGCAGCAGCAGCAGCUUGGAUCAGAGCAGGAGCCCCGGGGUGCUGGGGAAGGACGACACCUACAGCUGGAGCAGCACCCUGAGGCUCACUGCAGACCAGUGGACGAAGGCGGGCUCUGUGACCUGUGAGGCCACCCAGGGCUGCCAGGCUCCGGUCUCAGAGACACUGAGGACAGACCAGUGUUCCCAGUCCUGACCUGACUCUCUGAGACUCUGCUACUGGUUUUACUCUGCUCCU
Molecule: non-coding RNA, 369 nt
Organism: Toxotes jaculatrix (banded archerfish)
Lineage: Eukaryota; Metazoa; Chordata; Actinopteri; Toxotidae
Source: the annotation of a RefSeq genome assembly